GGGCUCUCUUGGGCAGCACAUAACCUAAAAUUGGAAUGAUAAAGAGAAGAUUGGCAUGGCACCUGCCCAAGGAUGACAUGAAAAUUUGUGAAGCACUCUAUAUUUUU
Small nuclear RNA from Dromiciops gliroides (monito del monte), 107 nucleotides. The record is from RefSeq and is a predicted model, not a curated record. NCBI's taxonomy places the organism in Eukaryota, Metazoa, Chordata, Mammalia, Microbiotheria, Microbiotheriidae.